RNAcentral lists this ribosomal RNA (253 nucleotides) under uncultured bacterium. Its description in RNAcentral is "partial 16S ribosomal RNA". It matches the Rfam family "Bacterial small subunit ribosomal RNA", at positions 524 to 776 of the family's 1533-position model. The record is from RNAcentral.
UACGAAGGGGGCUAGCGUUGCUCGGAAUCACUGGGCGUAAAGCGCACGUAGGCGGCUUCUUAAGUCAGGGGUGAAAUCCUGGGGCUCAACCCCAGAACUGCCCUUGAUACUGAGGAGCUUGAGUCCGGGAGAGGUGAGUGCAACUCCGAGUGUAGAGGUGAAAUUCGUCGACAUUCGGAAGAACACCAGUGGCGAAGGCGGCUCACUGGCCCGGUACUGACGCUGAGGUGCGAAAGCGUGGGGAGCAAACAGG